This 274-nucleotide ribosomal RNA is filed under the name uncultured bacterium. Its description in RNAcentral is "partial 16S ribosomal RNA". It matches the Rfam family "Bacterial small subunit ribosomal RNA", at positions 523 to 796 of the family's 1533-position model. The record is from RNAcentral.
AUACGGAGGGUGCAAGCGUUACUCGGAAUCACUGGGCGUAAAGCGCGCGCAGGCGGCCUUUUAAGUUGGAUGUGAAAGCCUACGGCUCAACCGUAGAACUGCAUCCAAAACUAUCAGGCUAGAGUGUGGGAGAGGAAGAUGGAAUUAGUUGUGUAGGGGUAAAAUCCGUAGAGAUAACUAGGAAUACCAAAAGCGAAGGCAAUCUUCUGGAACGUUACUGACGCUGAGGCGCGAAAGCGUGGGGAGCAAACAGGAUUAGAAACCCCAGUAGUCC